Long non-coding RNA from Sceloporus undulatus (fence lizard), 1134 nucleotides. RefSeq lists it as uncharacterized. The transcript is spliced from 3 exons. Lineage: Eukaryota; Metazoa; Chordata; Lepidosauria; Squamata; Phrynosomatidae. The record is from RefSeq and is a predicted model, not a curated record.
AGUCAUGUGGCUGACACAUGUCAAAUCUCUAUGCAUCUGACUGCUGAAAUAUUUCCUACUGAAAUCACAUUAAGACUGCCAUCCAAUAUUCAGCAACUUCAUAGUCAUGGAGAUCCACUGGAUACAAUGAGAGCUACCUCCAAGGAAACAUGCACACUGGAGAAACAAUCUUUCUGUCAGUCAUUGGAUGGCCACUUUGAGGAACGUUGUGUAAUGUCAGUUUGAAAUUACAAGAUUUCUCCCUUCUGAAUCCAUCGUUCUGCUACUGCAUGUCACUGCCUUUCUUCAACCUUCCAGUUCACAUUAUAUUACUCUUGCAUUUUAGUAUUAUAUGGCAUCAAAACUGCUACAAUGUUCUGAAAUAAAAUUCUGUGCAUUCUAAAUCAAGGAGCCUGCAGACACCAGGGAAUGAUUACAAAGUCAUCUUUAAGAUUUUCAAAACCUGAGACAGAUGGAAAGUGAGAUCAUGAGAUGGAUAUUGCCUUCAGUCAGCUAUCCCUUUAGUGCUUUCCACACCUGCUAAUGCUGAAGGUUACCAAGCACCUGUCCCUCAUUCAGCUCAGUCAACUUCUCUUUUUAUGGAAGGCUGCUCUUCUACUUCAUCUUUCACAGAUCAGAAAUGUAGGCCAGUUGAGGUUUACAGCUGUGGGUAUUUGGAGAUGGCCAUAAUAAUUUUAUAUGCAACCUGGAUGUUAAUGUAAAUACAGAUUUCCAGAGAUAAAAUAAGAUUAAUUGACUAAUUCAUUACAUAGAAGAUGAAAUUUGAAGCAUUAUGAAUAAUCUUUUCCAAAAGGAGUUCCAUGACUAGGUGAAGACAAGACUGUAAUACUUUAAAGAUAAUUUGCCAUAAUUAACAUAUAUUUAUAUUUUGUCAAGUGUGCAAUUUAAUUCUGCAUUAGAAAUGUGCAUCCUAGAUUUGGAUCAGACUCUGAUUCAGUAUUUUCAAAAGUUCUAUUUCUGGUGAUACCAGUUUGGUCUCAUUCACUUCACCCAAAGUCCCAAACCUGAGCUGAAUUUUUGGAAGCCCAAGACUAAUAACAACUUAGCCAAAUUUGCAAUUUUUUUCAUUAAUGGUUUGGAAAGAAGUUUUUUGAAAAUCAGUUUUAAUAAAACAAAGGUUGGAGAAAGCAAAAA